AGAGUUUGAUCCUGGCUCAGAUUGAACGCUGGCGGCAGGCUUAACACAUGCAAGUCGAGCGGUAACAGGGGGUGCUUGCACCCCGCUGACGAGCGGCGGACGGGUGAGUAAUGCUUAGGAAUCUGCCCAGUAGUGGGGGAUAGCCCGGGGAAACCCGGAUUAAUACCGCAUACGUCCUACGGGAGAAAGCAGGGGAUCUUCGGACCUUGCGCUAUUGGAUGAGCCUAAGUCGGAUUAGCUAGUUGGUGAGGUAAAGGCUCACCAAGGCCACGAUCCGUAGCUGGUUUGAGAGGAUGAUCAGCCACAUCGGGACUGAGACACGGCCCGAACUCCUACGGGAGGCAGCAGUGGGGAAUAUUGGACAAUGGGGGCAACCCUGAUCCAGCCAUGCCGCGUGUGUGAAGAAGGCUUUCGGGUUGUAAAGCACUUUCAGUGAGGAGGAAAACCUUACGACUAAUACUCGUGAGGCUUGACGUUACUCACAGAAGAAGCACCGGCUAACUCCGUGCCAGCAGCCGCGGUAAUACGGAGGGUGCAAGCGUUAAUCGGAAUUACUGGGCGUAAAGCGCGCGUAGGUGGUUCGAUAAGCGGGAUGUGAAAGCCCCGGGCUUAACCUGGGAACGGCAUUCCGAACUGUCGGGCUAGAGUAUGGUAGAGGGUAGUGGAAUUUCCUGUGUAGCGGUGAAAUGCGUAGAUAUAGGAAGGAACACCAGUGGCGAAGGCGGCUACCUGGACCAAUACUGACACUGAGGUGCGAAAGCGUGGGGAGCAAACAGGAUUAGAUACCCUGGUAGUCCACGCCGUAAACGAUGUCAACUAGCCGUUGGGACUCUUGAAGUCUUAGUGGCGCAGCUAACGCACUAAGUUGACCGCCUGGGGAGUACGGCCGCAAGGUUAAAACUCAAAUGAAUUGACGGGGGCCCGCACAAGCGGUGGAGCAUGUGGUUUAAUUCGACGCAACGCGAAGAACCUUACCUGGCCUUGACAUCCAGAGAACUUUCCAGAGAUGGAUUGGUGCCUUCGGGAACUCUGUGACAGGUGCUGCAUGGCCGUCGUCAGUUCGUGUCGUGAGAUGUUGGGUUAAGUCCCGUAACGAGCGCAACCCCUAUCCCUGGUUGCUAGCAGGUAAAGCUGAGAACUCCAGGGAGACUGCCGGUGACAAACCGGAGGAAGGUGGGGAUGACGUCAGGUCAUCAUGGCCCUUACGGCCAGGGCUACACACGUGCUACAAUGGUGCGUACAGAGGGCUGCAAACUCGCGAGAGUAAGCCAAUCCCUUAAAACGCAUCGUAGUCCGGAUCGGAGUCUGCAACUCGACUCCGUGAAGUCGGAAUCGCUAGUAAUCGCGAAUCAGAAUGUCGCGGUGAAUACGUUCCCGGGCCUUGUACACACCGCCCGUCACACCAUGGGAGUGGAUUGCACCAGAAGUGGUUAGUCUAACCUUCGGGAGGACGAUCACCACGGUGUGGUUCAUGACUGGGGUGAAGUCGUAACAAGGUAACC
RNAcentral lists this ribosomal RNA (1502 nucleotides) under uncultured Marinobacter sp. RNAcentral describes it as "16S ribosomal RNA". It matches the Rfam family "Bacterial small subunit ribosomal RNA". Lineage: Bacteria; Pseudomonadati; Pseudomonadota; Gammaproteobacteria; Pseudomonadales; Marinobacteraceae. The record is from RNAcentral.